AACUUUUGGAUGAAAACCUUCUCUGCAAAGCCAAGUUACACCAACUAAGAAUUUCAUUUCACUUUUCACAAUUACUCCACAAUUCAUACACUCUUCGCUUGCAAGAAAGAGCUCUCCACAGCUCAAGAAUUUCAAAGCUUCAGCAAUCAAUUAGAAACAAGAUAAACAUCAAGUUUUUUUCCCACCAAUCUCGCAGAACAACAACAACAUACAAUUUCAUUCAAAGGUUUCAUCUUUUAAUUCCUGCUUAUUUUCAUUUCACAGUUUGAUUAAGAAACUCACUUCAUUUUAUAUAAAGAUCUUCAUUGCAAGCAAGAAUCACACACAUACUUUCAUCUCAUCAUUUCGGUGCAUAUGUAUACACUGUCAUACAUAUAUACAAAGCAUGACUAUUGUUAAAAGAAAAGAAGAGUAGAAAAUGUUUUGAAGCAUGUUGAUAAAUGGAGUCUUGAGCUUUGGUACGUCUGUUGAGUCUGGGCUCUGGUCGAGGGCGGUGGCUCGGCGCCACUGUCGGUCUGGCCGGAGAGGAAAGAAAAUCGAAGGCUAUGAGGCGGCUCAUCGCCGUUGCUCCGGCGGGGUUUUGAAGGGAGAGCCGAGAGGUACAGGGGAGGAGACGGCGCAGGGGGCGCCUGUGUGUGGGCGUGCUCUGUUCUGAGAGAGAGAGCCGAGGGAGGCGGCGGCGCCUCGCCGUUGUCAAGGAGGAAGGCGGAGGCAACGUGGAGGCUGUUUCCGCCGGGUUCGGUGAAGAGAGAGGAGAACGGCGGCGGCCACGGGUUGCUGUCGUCGGGAGGUUUGAGAGAGAGCAGAGGGAGGUCAGAGCGCGGCGGCCCUGCCGCUGUCGCUCGGCCACGGACGGAGGGAGAGGAGGAAGGAGGCUGAGGGCGACUGGAUUGAGGUGGCUAGGGUUCGGACGCUGCGGCAGCUCGUCGCUGUCGUCGUCACCGGAAGGGAGGAGGAUGGAGGGACUAGGGUACCGAGCAGUCGAGGGUGAUGGUGAGGAUGACCAGAGCGGCGCUCGUCGCCGGGGGAUGGUGGCGCGUGGCCGUGAGUCCGAGAGAGAGAGAGGGACGAGCAGUCAAGUUUGAGAGAGAGAGAGAGGCGACUGAUGCGUGACUGAUGGGAGGAAGGAGAGAAAAGGUUGGGUGUUGGGCUAGGUUUGGGUUUUGGGCUCCUUUUUUUGGGCCAAUUUUGAUUGUAUUAAAUUUUCAGUUUGGGCCUCUGAUUAUUUUAAAUCAUGGGCUGCCCAAUUAUUGAUUUAAUUGGAUUGUGCAGAUUUGUUUUAAAGAGCUACACUAUUAUAAUUAAUUAAUUAGACUUAUUAAGUUUGUUUAAUUAUUUUAAUUUGCAUAAUAAUAUUAUAUUAUUAUUAUGUGCAUAUUUUAAGUUAUUACUUAUUAUAUGCUAAGCAUGACAUGAAAUUGCAUUUUAUUUUGCAAAAAAGUAUUCAUGAUUUAAUUGGUCUUAUUUAUAAUUCCAAUUUUUAAAGAAAGACGAGUAAGAAUAUUGUUGGUGUUCUUAACUCAAGAAUUUUAGUUUUCAAUUAUUUAUUCAUUAAUUUUUGAAAACCCGGCUAAGUGAAUCAUAGAAUGUUAAGCACUUCACCACGACUUAAGAUUAGAUUCAAGGAGACCUAUUAAGAAUAGAAUUUCUUGUAGGCUUUGUGGACCAAGGGGAUUAGCACUGCUUUCCCAAGACAGGUUAUGUGAUUAUGAUCUUCAGGCUUUGCCUAAUCAGGUGGGCUUACUUUCCAAAUGUAAAAGUAUGAUUGAGUUAUUAAGCUCUAAAUGUUUCAAUGAAAUGCAAAUUUUUAUUAAUGAAUGAAACUGUUUAUCCAAUAAAAUGUUUAUGUGCACUCUGCUCUGUUUAAGGCUCGCCACAACGAAUCAAUUGAGGUUCUCUUAUCCUAACACGUUUUUGAGAAUUGUGUACACUCGUUAGCUGACCUGGUGGGUUGAUCUCCAUCGGGCACUAACUAAGAGGCGUUAUAAGGGUGCUUGCUGGAUGUGUUCCGAAGCAUGUAAUGUAAGGGCCUGCCUGGGUAGCGUCCCGAGGUCAAAAGUAAACUUGUCUGGGUUACGCCCUCAGUUCAAGUAAAUGGGAGAAACGGAUCCGUCGGUGGCUAGGAGGUCCGGGAUCACAGCGAGUAACAGAAAGGGAGUGUGACAUGUGCGCACAAAUGAAAGAAAUGUUUUAACAUGCUUAGAAGUUCUUUCAAUUUAAAACCUUCUAAGUCAUGUCAAGUAUGAUUGGAUAAACUGUCUUUACGAAAAUAUGAAAUGUUUCAGAAAAUGCAUGCCCACUAAGUACAUUAGUACUUAGCCCAAAAUUUCUUUCAAAUGUUUUCAGGUUGGCUGGCUGGUGCUGACGGUGCGGAGCUGAGGCUAGAGUUAAAUUCCUAUGUUAGACUUCCGCUGUAGCAAUUACUCAUAUCAGUCUUUUGUUUUCCCAACUUAAGAUCUUCAUGUUAAAUUUCAAAUGAUAUACCUGACCGAACUUAGACUCUUCACUACUAAAUUUAUGCCAAUGAAUGUCGGUUGUCAGAAGCAUGAAACAAAACUUGUGAUCCAAAGGGGCAUAGCUCGACUUUCUAUCCUAUUUCGGCUUUUAACAAGGUUUUUCCCUUGUUUAUUUCUAUGAAUUAUUCACACC
Molecule: long non-coding RNA, 2649 nt
Filed under: Salvia miltiorrhiza (redroot sage)
Lineage: Eukaryota; Viridiplantae; Streptophyta; Magnoliopsida; Lamiales; Lamiaceae
Description: long non-coding RNA (SMIL_LNC006061)
Source: RNAcentral